RNAcentral lists this ribosomal RNA (254 nucleotides) under uncultured bacterium. RNAcentral's name for it is "partial 16S ribosomal RNA". It matches the Rfam family "Bacterial small subunit ribosomal RNA", at positions 524 to 776 of the family's 1533-position model. The record is from RNAcentral.
UACGGGGGGAGCAAGCGUUGUUCGGAUUUACUGGGCGUAAAGGGCGCGUAGGCGGCCACUGCAAGUCGGUUGUGAAAUCUCCGGGCUUAACCCGGAAAGGUCAACUGAUACUGCAGGGCUAGAGUGCAGAAGGGGCAACUGGAAUUCUCGGUGUAGCGGUGAAAUGCGUAGAUAUCGAGAGGAACACCUGCGGCGAAGGCGGGUUGCUGGGCUGACACUGACGCUGAGGCGCGAAAGCCAGGGGAGCGAACGGG